UACAGAGGGGGCAAGCGUUGUUCGGAAUUACUGGGCGUAAAGGGCGCGUAGGCGGCCUGUUAAGUCGGACGUGAAAUCCCUCGGCUCAACCGGGGAACUGCGUCUGAUACUGGCGGGCUUGAAUUCGGGAGAGGGAUGUGGAAUUCCAGGUGUAGCGGUGAAAUGCGUAGAUAUCUGGAGGAACACCGGUGGCGAAGGCGGCAUCCUGGACCGACAUUGACGCUGAGGCGCGAAAGCCAGGGGAGCAAACGGGAUUAGAAACCCCCGUAGUCC
This 273-nucleotide ribosomal RNA is filed under the name uncultured bacterium. Its description in RNAcentral is "partial 16S ribosomal RNA". It matches the Rfam family "Bacterial small subunit ribosomal RNA", at positions 524 to 796 of the family's 1533-position model. The record is from RNAcentral.